CCUACGGGUGGCAGCAGUAGGGGAUAUUGCACAAUGGGGGAAACCCUGAUGCAGCGACGCCGCGUGAGUGAAGAAGUAUUUCGGUAUGUAAAGCUCUAUCAGCAGGGAAGAAAAUGACAGUACCUGACCAAGAAGCCCCGGCUAACUACGUGCCAGCAGCCGCGGUAAUACGGAGGGGGCAAGCGUUAUCCGGAUUUACUGGGUGUAAAGGGAGCGUAGGCGGGUAUGUAAGUCUGGAGUGAAAGCCCGGGGCCCAACCCCGGGACUGCAUUGGAAACUGUGUAACUGGAGUACAGGAGGGGCAGGUGGAAUUCCUGGUGUAGCGGUGAAAUGCGUAGAUAUCAGGAGGAAUAC
RNAcentral lists this ribosomal RNA (354 nucleotides) under uncultured bacterium. RNAcentral describes it as "partial 16S ribosomal RNA". It matches the Rfam family "Bacterial small subunit ribosomal RNA", at positions 338 to 709 of the family's 1533-position model. The record is from RNAcentral.